UCAGGCUGGUUGAGCAUGGACAGCUCCAUGACCAAAGGUUGCCAGCAUAGCGGGGCUGGUCUCACUGCUCCUGUCACUGCCUUCAAAUUUGUGCCAACAGAGCCAGAAAGGAAUCAAACUAUGAAACUUCAGAACUGCGCAUCACAAGGACUCCUCUAAACCAAUUGCUGCAGUUUUGAGAUGGUCAUAAUAGAAAUGGAUUUCAAUACAUUCAGCAAAAGUGGAGGAAUGUUGUGCAAAAGAGGCAAUGGUCUACAC
This 258-nucleotide long non-coding RNA is filed under the name Zonotrichia albicollis (white-throated sparrow). RNAcentral describes it as "lncRNA (ENSZALG00000008955.1)". Lineage: Eukaryota; Metazoa; Chordata; Aves; Passeriformes; Passerellidae. The record is from RNAcentral.